This 566-nucleotide unclassified non-coding RNA is filed under the name Zea mays. RNAcentral describes it as "misc RNA Zm00001eb182280". The record is from RNAcentral. Lineage: Eukaryota; Viridiplantae; Streptophyta; Magnoliopsida; Poales; Poaceae.
UCAGCGAUGAGGGAUGAGCGAGUAACACAUGUAUCAGCAUACAAGAUAGUAGCUUUAGUUUCAUCCAUUCUUUGACAACAAAUACUACUGAUCAAUGUAAACAAACUUGUAGUCAAGAAUAAGAGAUUAUUUUAUCGAGAAUAUAAUUUUCAAUCAUUUGGGGUAAGGUAGAGGAACAGCAUUCUCUCUUUUUUCAAUGAUUUAUGUGGUUAGCCGGUCGUGGUUAACGUCAGCCGCCACUGAUGGGCGGUAUGACAGCGAGCUCGUCGCCGUCGGCGACCGCGGUGGAGUCGGCCGCGUACUCCUCGUUGAGCGCGAGCACGACGGAGCCCCGGAUCUCCUCCAGAUUGGGGAACUGGGCCAGGACCCGGGCGAGGCACUCCCCCGCGGUGCUCCCCGGCGGCACCUCCACCGCCGAAUCCGCCACGCCCGUCAGGUCUCGCGCGCGGGCGAAGAAGAGCACCUUCACCGUCGCGGCUGGCGCUGCCUGUUCUUACCUUUGGGAUUCGUCGACAUCGCCGGAGGAAAGGAAGCGGCCAACUCUAGUCUUUCUUCUGUUGUCAGAA